RNAcentral lists this ribosomal RNA (460 nucleotides) under uncultured bacterium. RNAcentral describes it as "partial 16S ribosomal RNA". It matches the Rfam family "Bacterial small subunit ribosomal RNA", at positions 338 to 795 of the family's 1533-position model. The record is from RNAcentral.
CCUACGGGAGGCAGCAGUGAGGAAUAUUGGUCAAUGGACGCAAGUCUGAACCAGCCAUGCCGCGUGCAGGAAGACGGCUCUAUGAGUUGUAAACUGCUUUUGUACGAGGGUAAACGCAGAUCUGCGUAUCGGUCUGAAAGUAUCGUAUGAAUAAGGAUCGGCUAACUCCGUGCCAGCAGCCGCGGUAAUACGGAGGAUUCAAGCGUUAUCCGGAUUUAUUGGGUUUAAAGGGUGCGUAGGCGGUCGGAGAAGUUAGAGGUGAAAUACCGAGGCGCACCGUCGGAAUUGCCUCUGAUACUGUGCGGCUAGAGAGUAGUUGCGGUAGGCGGAAUGUAUGGUGUAGCGGUGAAAUGCUUAGAGAUCAUACAGAACACCGAUUGCGAAGGCAGCUUACCAAGCUACUGCUGACGUUGAGGCACGAAAGCGUGGGGAGCAAACAGGAUUAGAGACCCGGGUAGUC